UCAAGCUACUAAGGGCAUACGGCGGAUGCCUAGGCGCCAUCAGCCGAUGAAGGACGCGGUAAGCUGCGAAAAGCUACGGGGAACUGCAAGCAAGUAUUGAUCCGUAGAUGUCCGAAUGGGGAAACCCAACUACCGUCAUGGGUAGUUAUCCGAAAGGAAGGGAACCCGGGGAACUGAAACAUCUAAGUACCCGGAGGAAGAGAAAUCAAACGAGAUGCCCACAGUAGCGGCGAGCGAAGAGGGCAGAGGGCAAACCGGGGAGCUACGGCUCUUCGGGGUUGAGGACUGCAUUUAGUCUCAAUGGUUUAUCCGAACUACCUGGAAAGGUAGGCAAAACAGUGUAAAAGCCACGUAGGUUAAAGGCCAGAGAGAUGAGCAGUAUCCAGAGUACCACGAGGCACGAGGAAUCUUGUGGGAAGCCGGGGGGACCACCCUCCAACCCUAAACACUGAAUGGCGACCGAUAGCGCAUAGUACCGUGAGGGAAAGGUGAAAAGAACCCCGGGAGGGGAGUGAAAGAGAACCUGAAACCGUAUGUCUACAAGCAGUCGGAGCGAAAGCGACGGCGUGCCUAUUGAAGAAUGAACCAACGAGUUACGUGCACUAGCGAGGUUAAGUGGAAGACACGGAGCCGAAGCGAAAGCGAGUCUUAAGAGGGCGGAUAGUUAGUGUACGUAGACCCGAAACCGCAGUGAUCUACCCAUGUCCAGGUUGAAGCGCAGGUAAAAUUGCGUGGAGGACCGAACCUGUGAGCGUUGAAAAGCUUUAGGAUGAGAUGUGGGUAGAGGUGAAAUUCCAAUCGAACGCGGAGAUAGCUGGUUCUCCCCGAAAUAGCUUUAGGGCUAGCCUCAAGUAGUAAGUAUAGGCGGUAGAGCACUGAUCGGGCUAGGGGCCAUAAAGGUUACCGAACCCUGUCAAACUCCGAAUGGUUAUACUGUAGAGCUUGGGAGUCAGACUACGAGUGAUAAGAUCCGUGGUCAAAAGGGAAACAGCCCAGACCACCAGCUAAGGUCCCCAAUGUCGUACUAAGUGGAAAAGGAUGUGGGGUCUCUAAAACAACCAGGAUGUUGGCUUAGAAGCAGCCACCAUUUAAAGAGUGCGUAAUAGCUCACUGGUCGAGAGACCCUGCGCCGAAGAUUACCGGGGCUAAAGUACGAAACCGAAGCUGUGGCUACGACGUAAGUCGUGGGGUAGGGGAGCGUUCUGUGAGGGCUGAAGUCGUUCUGUAAGGAACGGUGGACUUCACAGAAGUGAGAAUGUUGGUAUGAGUAGCGAAAAGAAUGGUGAGAAUCCAUUCCACCGAAAGCAUAAGGAUUCCUGGGCAACGAUCGUCGUCCCAGGGUAAGUCGGGACCUAAUCCGAGGCAGAGAGCGUAGGAGAUGGACAACUGGCAGAUAUUCCAGUACCGGUAAUGAUUGUUUGAGCGAUGGAGUGACACAGGAGGGCAGGCAGGCAGGAGAUUGGUUGUUCCUGUACAAGCGUGUAGGAUGGGUUGCAGGCAAAUCCGCAACCUGUGAGUCUGAGGCGUGAUGUGGAGGUUCCGGAAACGGAACUGAAGCUGCUGACCCCACACUGUCGAGAAAAGCUUCUAGUUAGAGAAUUACCGCCCGUACCGUAAACCGACACAGGUAUGCGGGGAGAGAAUCCUAAGGUGCGCGGGAGAACCCUCGUUAAGGAACUCGGCAAAAUGUACCCGUAACUUCGGGAUAAGGGUAGCCGCUGUUGUGAAGUCUGAACAGAUGGAGCAUGAGGCGGUCGCAGAGAAGAGGCCCAAGCGACUGUUUACCACAAACACAGGUGCCUGCUAAAGAGAAAUCUGACGUAUAGGUGCUGACACCUGCCCAGUGCCGGAAGGUUAAGGAAGGAUGUCCGGAGCAAUCCAAAGCAUUCGACCGAAGCCCCGGUGAACGGCGGCCGUAACUAUAACGGUCCUAAGGUAGCGAAAUUCCUUGUCGGGUAAG
Molecule: ribosomal RNA, 1960 nt
Filed under: human gut metagenome
Description: bacterial LSU rRNA
Rfam family: Bacterial large subunit ribosomal RNA
Source: RNAcentral